Molecule: ribosomal RNA, 159 nt
Filed under: Sclerococcum ahtii
Lineage: Eukaryota; Fungi; Ascomycota; Eurotiomycetes; Sclerococcales; Dactylosporaceae
Description: 5.8S ribosomal RNA
Rfam family: 5.8S ribosomal RNA
About the family: 5.8S ribosomal RNA (5.8S rRNA) is a component of the large subunit of the eukaryotic ribosome. It is transcribed by RNA polymerase I as part of the 45S precursor that also contains 18S and 28S rRNA.
Source: RNAcentral
AAAACUUUCAACAACGGAUCUCUUGGUUCUGGCAUCGAUGAAGAACGCAGCGAAAUGCGAUAAGUAAUGUGAAUUGCAAAAUUCAGUGAAUCAUCCAAUCUUUGAACGCAUAUUGCGCCCUUUGGCAUUCCGAAGGGCAUACCUGUUCGAGCGUCAUUA